CAAUUAAGCAGGGAAGGGAAGGGAUCUCGGGGAAGACUGCGGGGUUUGGAGAGUCCUUGAGCCUGAGCUUUGGACACCGUGGAGGGACAUGGUCUUGUUCGUCACACUGAACCUGAGGACACAGAUGAUGCCUCGGAGUAGCACUCUGAUGUUCCCAGUUCCUCCUCUCUCACGCAGCGUUAAAAAGUCUGGAUGGAAGUGACCCUAGAUGCCCGGCGAGAUUCUGCCGCCACACACACACACACACAACCUCCGCUGUGACUGAAGCACCCCGCUGAGAGCUCAGAUGUCAGAGGUCGGCCUUCACCAUCAUAACCUCUACAUACGUGUCUUCCGGUC
Molecule: long non-coding RNA, 339 nt
Organism: Carassius gibelio (silver crucian carp)
Lineage: Eukaryota; Metazoa; Chordata; Actinopteri; Cypriniformes; Cyprinidae
Exons: 3
Source: RefSeq, a predicted model, not a curated record